Molecule: unclassified non-coding RNA, 366 nt
Filed under: Hevea brasiliensis (rubber tree)
Lineage: Eukaryota; Viridiplantae; Streptophyta; Magnoliopsida; Malpighiales; Euphorbiaceae
Source: RNAcentral
GAGAAAAUAAAAAUCAAAGACAUAAAACAAUUAGAAUCCCAAGAAUUUGAAAUAACCAAUGAUAAUGCAACACCACUGUGCAAAAUCCAUCAAUUGAUAUUUUAGAGGAAAAACUGAUGCAACAUAGAUCUUCUUUAGCAAUAUGUAUGCUCAAGACAAGAUCAAUAUUGCUAAAAUGACCUUUUACCUCAAUUUUUAUCAAGUGUUUGUUACAUGAUAGCAGGGUGAUAAUAUUGGAUGUAAGUGGGCAAUUAGGCAUCAAAUUUUUCUUACUCCCAAACAUUAAGUAGAAGAACAAAUCCAAAUAAUACACUCUUCAUUUACACUUUUCCUGUAGCUUAGGACUCGUGCAACUUUGCUAUAACA